UAUUAAAAUUUUUAUCAAAUUGUACGAUUAAAAACUGAUAUGAUUAACGAAAUAAUCUUAUAAUAAAAUAUGAUAUGCUAUGUAUACAUCAUGUUGAUGUACAAGAAUCAGUUUUUAACAGUAAAAAUCGAUAUAAUUUUAACA
Molecule: microRNA precursor, 144 nt
Filed under: Gossypium arboreum
Lineage: Eukaryota; Viridiplantae; Streptophyta; Magnoliopsida; Malvales; Malvaceae
Description: MIR7502 microRNA precursor family
Rfam family: MIR7502 microRNA precursor family
Source: Rfam by way of RNAcentral